UACAGAGGGUGCGAGCGUUGUCCGGAAUCACUGGGCGUAAAGGGCGCGUAGGCGGCCACCGCAAGUCGACUGUGAAAUCUCCGGGCUUAACCCGGAAAGGUCAGCCGAUACUGCGGGGCUAGAGUGCAGAAGGGGCAACUGGAAUUCUCGGUGUAGCGGUGAAAUGCGUAGAUAUCGAGAGGAACACCUGCGGCGAAGGCGGGUUGCUGGGCUGACACUGACGCUGAGGCGCGAAAGCUAGGGGAGCGAACGGG
This 254-nucleotide ribosomal RNA is filed under the name uncultured bacterium. Its description in RNAcentral is "partial 16S ribosomal RNA". It matches the Rfam family "Bacterial small subunit ribosomal RNA", at positions 524 to 776 of the family's 1533-position model. The record is from RNAcentral.